This is a microRNA precursor of Oryza sativa Indica Group (long-grained rice), 208 nucleotides long. It matches the Rfam family "MIR812 microRNA precursor family". NCBI's taxonomy places the organism in Eukaryota, Viridiplantae, Streptophyta, Magnoliopsida, Poales, Poaceae. The record is from Rfam.
CCUAAGUAUAGUUUUAACACUAUUCAUGCUCAAUGUUUAACUGUUCGUCUUAUUUGAAAAACAAUUAUAAUUAGUAUUUUUAUUGUUAUUAGAUAAUACAUGAAUAGUACUUUAUGUGUGACUAAUAUUUUUAAUUUUUUUUCAUAAAAUUUUUAAAUAAGACGGAUGGUCAAAACGCUGGACACGGAUAUCUAUGGCUGUACUUAUU